GAGAAAGAGGGAGAUAUCCAGGAGGCUGGUAUAUGAUUCACAAAGGGCCAAUCAGCUUCCUUCCUUGUUACAUGAAAAUUGGGAGAAAAAGGUUCUCUAUGCACUGGGUCUUGCUAAACCUGCACCAGGCAGCUGGAGCCAAAGGCCACCAUCUUUUCUAGUCCCAAGAAGGAAGUUCAUUGCAGUAGGGGCACCUGAAGCUAACUCACAAGGAGAGAGGUGAUAAAAGAUGGAAGGGAAAGUAAGCAAGGAGCCAAGAAGUCCAGGAACAAAUCCAUCACAGUGGUCAGCAUGGCCAAAAUAAAGAAAAAAGAAGUGAGGGCAGAAGGAAUUGGUCUUCCUUCUGAAGAUCUCUAAGUUUGGUCCGUUCCUGGCAUACAGUAGGAGCACGGUGCAUUUGUGCUUCAUUUCUCUCUGGUUUUUCUCAGGAAUUCACUCGACUCUUCUUGUGUACGUCACAGCAUAGUGGCCCAUGUGAUCUGGACCACAUUUGACGUUAGGGUCUUAUACCCCUUGGGGGAGAUACAAAGGGACUCCAUACAGAAAACUUUAUGAACUACAGAGGAACUUCCUAGUGUCCUAUUUCUUUGCACCUCCUCUCCACCAUUCACAAAUAGUAAACAUAUACUAUGUGACAAAGGAUUUCAUUCAUUCAACAAAUAUUAAACGUGCCAACAUCAUUUCUAAGUACUUCAGAUGCACUGUAUUUUAUUAUCACACAAAACAUCUUCCCCUAGGUGUUGUUACACCCAUAUCACAGAUGACGAGAAAAGUGAAGUUUCAAAAGAUGAGAUGAAAUCCUUUUCCUAGGAUUAUACAAGUUGCUAAAAUGAUCAGAUCCAAGAUUUGAAUCCAGGUCUAUUCCACUCCCAACAUUAACUAUUUUAUAACAAAAAAGCACACUGCCUUCCAUCCAGUUUGGGUGUAUAGUCAGUUCCCGUCCAAGAGAUUUAUUGUAAUCAUGCCUCUCAGAGAAGUAUUCUGCAGGAGGCUCUGGGGACUACAUCCUCUGAGAGAAGCCAGGAGUGAGAGGACCCAGUGCUUUAUUGCCAGGGACAUUGUGGCUCCAGAACAUUGCUGGAGAUGAGGCUUGGCUAAGGGGUCAGAGGUCACCCACAGAAGGAGAUUGGGAUCAGAAGCUCACUGCAUGCUCUCAUGAAGAAAAUAUCACAUACAAACAUGAAUCAGCCCCUCUCAUCGGAGCAUCUAUUUUGUCUCCUGGGCCUUCAGACAUUAAAUUUACUCAUUAUAAUGCCAUGGCUCCAACCGAUUUUCUGGGUGAGAUCACACACAGAGGAAUCAAACUAAUUUGAGAUUACAUGCCCGCUGCCCUUUCCUAUGAAGAGUUUCUUCUUGUUUCUAAUUAAACUUUUUCUUCUAUGACAAAUACCAAGAUGCCAAAAAAGAUCCCUAUUAAGAAUGAGAAGUGCCAGGAGCUUGGGAUUAUGGGGUGCUAUUUCCCCAUGCCUGGGUGUGCUCUGUUGUCAGUGUUGAGUGUCAGCGAUGUGCCAAAAGGUCAUGGAUUUUGGUUCCUUUAAGUGAGAGUAAACCAAACUCCAGAGGCUGGGCUAUCUGUGCACACCUGGUUACCAGAGAAAUCUCUGCCACCACUCAUGGGUCGCUGGUGUAAAGGCAGCAGUAGGUCACUUCAAAUCCAUUCCCAACCCUGGGAAUACGAUUCAAAAGCCAGCACCCUGUGUAGUUUGGUGAGAGGACAAGGAACAAAUGGAUGGCAUCAAGCCCUCAUUGUCUUUUAUAGCCUGAGUGACUUAGGAAAGAAAAUAAUCCUUACUGAGCACCCACUGUAUGCAAUGAACAGUCAGGACUUUCCUGUGCUCUCAGCUAGUCUUCAUAACAACACCGACAAGUGGGUAUUAUUACCAAGGUGAUGCAGGGCAAGUAGAAAGUGCUGUUUGCUUAUGAUUACACAGGCACGAGGCAGAGCCAGGGUCUGCUCUGGGACCUGUUGAAACUUCUCACUACCUGCACUUCACCUCUGAGUCCCAGUGUCCUCUCUUUGGAAGUAAGGGUAGUAACCUCAUGGACUCGUGGGGCUGAGAUAAAACGUGGGUGAGAAUAUUAGGCUUUGUUCCUGCAGAGACGCUGCAAGUGGAAGGCAGGGUGAGCCUCAUCGUCAGUCGUCAUUCCCACCGCCCACCACGAGCCACCUGCCUGCGGUCUCUGACGAGUGCCUGCAUAGUUAAGAUCAGGCUGCUGUUCUUGAGAGUCUACUUUGCAUCAGAUCUUCUAUACUUCCCUUUUCUAUGGACUGGAAGAAUCACUGAUUCUGGGCGUCCUUUUUUCUUAGAAUUGCGGGAGACAAGAAGUCCAUUCCAUUAUUGGUUGAAGGACAAGCACAGUCAUCAUCCCCAGCCCUCACCAGUGAGGACAGAGUCAAUGGGAAUAUGCAAACUUCAGUGAGUAAGAAGGAACCCUGGGGUAGCAUCUCCAUCUUCCCAUCACCAAAUGGGGCUCAGUGCGACUCAGUACAGUCAUCCCUUCCUGUCAAAUCCUGACAUCUUCAUCCAACACAGAGUGGUUCAGAACACUUUCUCCCAAUCUCUGUGCCAGAGUGGCUCCUGGCUUGAGUAUUGAACACACUCCAAGCAAUUUCUCAGUUUUACAAACACCCGUGCCACUCAACCUCAUGUACUUCAUUUGCUUGUUUGAUAAACACAGGGAAGAUCAUAUUGGUCACAUUUCCUUAGAUUGACCUUAUCAGUGCCAAUCUAAUGCUGCAUUACUUGGGGACUUCCUGCAUUCAGGUUGUCAGUGUAGCGAUAGCUCACCUGAAGCAAAGGAGGCAGAGAAAGGAACUCGGAUGCCUUGAGUGGAUCCAAGGAGUGGUGACUGUAUUUAAUUAGCACCAGUAUUCUGGGUCAACAGCCAUAGCAAUCGGAUCCUAGGUGGAUCCCCAAAACAUCCCACACCUCAGAAAUGGAGGGAGGGAACAUGGAUGUGGUACAGAAACACAUUUUUUUUGUUUUUUUUUGAGGGGGCAAGAUGAACUGCACAGUUUUGAGUCUCAGUAGUUGCACUUCAAAUCAGCACAUGCACUGACGGCUCUCUCUAUCCCCGAUUACAGCCUUGUGUCUCUCUGCCUGUGUAUUCUCUUGGUCUCUCACUGUCUCUGUUCUCUCUCUCUCCCUCCCCACCCCCAUGCCUUUGUCACUGUGUCUCUCUGAUUUUCCAACUCCCAAACGUAAACAGUCCAGGAGCAAGGCAGAACUUGGAUUUUACACCGCUUUUCCACUUAGCGGUUUGCAAUCCUGACACGUCUCUGACGGGCAGUUUCCCCAUCUUUAACAUGGAGGCAGUAAUACCAAUCUUGCUGAGUUGCUAUUAGAAUAAAGUGAAACAAAGAAUAUAUAUUAGGCUACUCAGUUCCUGGCUCAUAACAAGGGGUCAAUAAAUGUUAGGUCCCUCCCAUAUCUCCCAUGUACUUUCCCUUCAUGACAUAUAGAAUCCCAUCAGUCUGUUGGCUUUCCUCUGGUGUGGCUUGCCCUCGGCCCAUUUUCAGAUCAGCCCAUGGAGCCAUGACUGGCUGGAACCAUUUUUCAUCCAAUUGGUCUCAUUCCAGCAGUUUCAUGAGGCCUCUUGUUAUAAAUCAGUCUGAGAAAAUAAACAUCCCCAGUCCAUUAGUGCCUUUCCACCCCACACCAAUCGGAGCCACAAACCAGCCAAGGCUUGUUAAUGGCCACUUGAAUACAUUCCCAUAGCCCAGCCUGGAGACCCGCAGCUUCAUGUUCUACCAGCUCCUGCCCAGCAAAAGCCCUAAGGUGACCAGACUGCUGACAGCAAAGGCACUGACCUGAUCCUUAUCAGUUAGGGGGGACCACACACCUGGUUUACCUAGGACAAUUCCAGUUUCCUCCUGUAGUUCCAGACUAAUUACUUUAGUGCGCCUUUCAGAAGAGCUCCAGUUUGAAUGCUAAACCAUAGAGAGUGUCUAUGGAAACCAAAAAUAAUCGUUUAAGUAAUAACAGCUAUCAUUUAUUUACCACUUGCUGUGUGCCAGGCAUCGUCAGGAAGGUCCUUAUGCACUGUAUCUCAUUUGAACUCCGUUACAACACUACACAGAAAGGGGCUGUGAUUACCUCCAUUUCACAGGACGCUGAAGUUUGGAGGAGUAAGCAACAUGUGCAAAGUUAACUAGUAUAGAAGGCACACCGUUUGUGCCUCACCCCGUCCCUCUCACUAGGCAGUGCACCCACCCAUCAGCCGCCGGGAGUGCGGGCUGCUCGCUCAGACCGGUCCCCUCUCCUGCUUCCCCACUUCCAAGGGGAACUGUCCUCAGUCAAACAGAAGCCAAGUCUGCUUGUAGGUUCCAUGCCCCCACUCAGGAAGUAGCCCACACCCCAAAACUAACUGAAGAAAGUGGGAAGGAUGGGAGGUGUAGAGGUACAAAAGAUUUCUCCCAUUGCUUCUAGGUCAGAUGAACUCUGUGGUACAAUUCAUGCUCCAGAAUUCCUGAUGGGAUCCAGUGAAACCACAUCCUUACUUAGCCUCUCUCCCUGCCCUAUCCCGCUUCUCUUGCUCCCAUUCUCCUGAAAGCAUCCUCAAUCAACCGCUUAGAAAAAACAUCCCUGUCUCAGGCUCUGCUGCCAGGGACCAGACCUAAGACAUCCAGUUAGCAAGUGGCAGAGCUGUGACUCAUGUCUAGGAAGGUCUCACUCUUAAUCACUAAGAAGCCGUGGCAUGAUAUUGCCUGAUCAUACACAUGAUUAAAAUGAUGGCCUCCAAGUUAUCAAGCUGCCAAGAACCAUGUCACAGUUUAUGACAACAAAGAUGACAACAGUCGCAACAAUAGCUACUAUUUACUUAAUGCUAACCGUAGACCAGUCUCUUCCUUGCAUCCAGUCCUCUCAACACCAUGAAGUUCAUCUUCAUAUCCCCAUUUUACAGCCAAGGCACAGAAAGCUUAGAGGAGGUAAGAGACAGGUCCGCUGACACUACACAGGUAGAAAGGGGUGGUGCCUGAGCUUCCAGCUCCACCUUUCUGCAAAGGCCACGCACCUCCUCGGUGUGGCUGCCCAAACCACUUGCCGUGUAAACUGGUCAAAGAAUGGUUGGUGAAAUGGGUUCCCCAUCAAAACUGAUGUUCUUGUAACAAUUUAGACAGAAAACUUUCCUGUCCCUGAGUUGGUUCUUUUUGCGCUGUAUUUGACCAUCCUGUCUCCAUUUUAGGGGAAAAGCUGUAUUACUCUGGAAACAGCCACGAGUGUUCCCUUAAGCCAGACAUAAAAAGAUCAAAGGAGCUGUCUUCACUG
Molecule: long non-coding RNA, 5270 nt
Organism: Phyllostomus discolor (pale spear-nosed bat)
Lineage: Eukaryota; Metazoa; Chordata; Mammalia; Chiroptera; Phyllostomidae
Exons: 2
Source: RefSeq, a predicted model, not a curated record